GGUUAAGCGACUAAGCGUACACGGUGGAUGCCCUGGCAGUCAGAGGCGAUGAAGGACGUGCUAAUCUGCGAUAAGCGUCGGUGAGGUGAUAUGAACCGUUAUAACCGGCGAUUUCCGAAUGGGGAAACCCAGUGUGUUUCGACACACUAUCAUUAACUGAAUCCAUAGGUUAAUGAGGCGAACCGGGGGAACUGAAACAUCUAAGUACCCCGAGGAAAAGAAAUCAACCGAGAUUCCCCCAGUAGCGGCGAGCGAACGGGGAGGAGCCCAGAGCCUGAAUCAGUGUGUGUGUUAGUGGAAGCGUCUGGAAAGGCGCGCGAUACAGGGUGACAGCCCCGUACACAAAAAUGCACAUAUUGUGAGCUCGAUGAGUAGGGCGGGACACGUGGUAUCCUGUCUGAAUAUGGGGGGACCAUCCUCCAAGGCUAAAUACUCCUGACUGACCGAUAGUGAACCAGUACCGUGAGGGAAAGGCGAAAAGAACCCCGGCGAGGGGAGUGAAAAAGAACCUGAAACCGUGUACGUACAAGCAGUGGGAGCCUCUUUAUGGGGUGACUGCGUACCUUUUGUAUAAUGGGUCAGCGACUUAUAUUCUGUAGCAAGGUUAACCGAAUAGGGGAGCCGAAGGGAAACCGAGUCUUAACUGGGCGUUAAGUUGCAGGGUAUAGACCCGAAACCCGGUGAUCUAGCCAUGGGCAGGUUGAAGGUUGGGUAACACUAACUGGAGGACCGAACCGACUAAUGUUGAAAAAUUAGCGGAUGACUUGUGGCUGGGGGUGAAAGGCCAAUCAAACCGGGAGAUAGCUGGUUCUCCCCGAAAGCUAUUUAGGUAGCGCCUCGUGAAUUCAUCUCCGGGGGUAGAGCACUGUUUCGGCAAGGGGGUCAUCCCGACUUACCAACCCGAUGCAAACUGCGAAUACCGGAGAAUGUUAUCACGGGAGACACACGGCGGGUGCUAACGUCCGUCGUGAAGAGGGAAACAACCCAGACCGCCAGCUAAGGUCCCAAAGUCAUGGUUAAGUGGGAAACGAUGUGGGAAGGCCCAGACAGCCAGGAUGUUGGCUUAGAAGCAGCCAUCAUUUAAAGAAAGCGUAAUAGCUCACUGGUCGAGUCGGCCUGCGCGGAAGAUGUAACGGGGCUAAACCAUGCACCGAAGCUGCGGCAGCGACACUAUGUGUUGUUGGGUAGGGGAGCGUUCUGUAAGCCUGUGAAGGUGGCCUGUGAGGGUUGCUGGAGGUAUCAGAAGUGCGAAUGCUGACAUAAGUAACGAUAAAGCGGGUGAAAAGCCCGCUCGCCGGAAGACCAAGGGUUCCUGUCCAACGUUAAUCGGGGCAGGGUGAGUCGACCCCUAAGGCGAGGCCGAAAGGCGUAGUCGAUGGGAAACAGGUUAAUAUUCCUGUACUUGGUGUUACUGCGAAGGGGGGACGGAGAAGGCUAUGUUGGCCGGGCGACGGUUGUCCCGGUUUAAGCGUGUAGGCUGGUUUUCCAGGCAAAUCCGGAAAACCAAGGCUGAGGCGUGAUGACGAGGCACUACGGUGCUGAAGCGACAAAUGCCCUGCUUCCAGGAAAAGCCUCUAAGCAUCAGGUAACAUCAAAUCGUACCCCAAACCGACACAGGUGGUCAGGUAGAGAAUACCAAGGCGCUUGAGAGAACUCGGGUGAAGGAACUAGGCAAAAUGGUGCCGUAACUUCGGGAGAAGGCACGCUGAUAUGUAGGUGAAGCGACUUGCUCGUGGAGCUGAAAUCAGUCGAAGAUACCAGCUGGCUGCAACUGUUUAUUAAAAACACAGCACUGUGCAAACACGAAAGUGGACGUAUACGGUGUGACGCCUGCCCGGUGCCGGAAGGUUAAUUGAUGGGGUUAGCGGUAACGCGAAGCUCUUGAUCGAAGCCCCGGUAAACGGCGGCCGUAACUAUAACGGUCCUAAGGUAGCGAAAUUCCUUGUCGGGUAAGUUCCGACCUGCACGAAUGGCGUAAUGAUGGCCAGGCUGUCUCCACCCGAGACUCAGUGAAAUUGAACUCGCUGUGAAGAUGCAGUGUACCCGCGGCAAGACGGAAAGACCCCGUGAACCUUUACUAUAGCUUGACACUGAACAUUGAGCCUUGAUGUGUAGGAUAGGUGGGAGGCUUUGAAGUGUGGACGCCAGUCUGCAUGGAGCCGACCUUGAAAUACCACCCUUUAAUGUUUGAUGUUCUAACGUUGGCCCGUAAUCCGGGUUGCGGACAGUGUCUGGUGGGUAGUUUGACUGGGGCGGUCUCCUCCUAAAGAGUAACGGAGGAGCACGAAGGUUGGCUAAUCCUGGUCGGACAUCAGGAGGUUAGUGCAAUGGCAUAAGCCAGCUUGACUGCGAGCGUGACGGCGCGAGCAGGUGCGAAAGCAGGUCAUAGUGAUCCGGUGGUUCUGAAUGGAAGGGCCAUCGCUCAACGGAUAAAAGGUACUCCGGGGAUAACAGGCUGAUACCGCCCAAGAGUUCAUAUCGACGGCGGUGUUUGGCACCUCGAUGUCGGCUCAUCACAUCCUGGGGCUGAAGUAGGUCCCAAGGGUAUGGCUGUUCGCCAUUUAAAGUGGUACGCGAGCUGGGUUUAGAACGUCGUGAGACAGUUCGGUCCCUAUCUGCCGUGGGCGCUGGAGAACUGAGGGGGGCUGCUCCUAGUACGAGAGGACCGGAGUGGACGCAUCACUGGUGUUCGGGUUGUCAUGCCAAUGGCACUGCCCGGUAGCUAAAUGCGGAAGAGAUAAGUGCUGAAAGCAUCUAAGCACGAAACUUGCCCCGAGAUGAGUUCUCCCUGAGACUUAGAGUCUCCUG
RNAcentral lists this ribosomal RNA (2808 nucleotides) under Escherichia coli. Its description in RNAcentral is "partial 23S ribosomal RNA". It matches the Rfam family "Bacterial large subunit ribosomal RNA". The record is from RNAcentral. Lineage: Bacteria; Pseudomonadati; Pseudomonadota; Gammaproteobacteria; Enterobacterales; Enterobacteriaceae.